RNAcentral lists this ribosomal RNA (1059 nucleotides) under uncultured Bacteroidales bacterium. Its description in RNAcentral is "bacterial SSU rRNA". It matches the Rfam family "Bacterial small subunit ribosomal RNA", at positions 32 to 1087 of the family's 1533-position model. The record is from RNAcentral. Lineage: Bacteria; Pseudomonadati; Bacteroidota; Bacteroidia; Bacteroidales.
AACGCUAGCUACAGGCUUAACACAUGCAAGUCGAGGGGUAGCACGGAAGAAGCUUGCUUCUUUGGGUGACGACCGGCGCACGGGUGAGUAACGCGUAUCCGACCUACCCAUAACACGGGCACAGCCGCUCGAAAGAGUGAUUGAUUCCCGAUAUGUCUUGUGAGUAGAUUGCAAGAUGAAAGAUUCAUCGGUUAUGGAUGGGGAUGCGUAAGAUUAGGUAGUAGGCGGGGUAACGGCCCACCUAGCCUUCGAUCAUUAGGGGUUCUGAGAGGAAGGUCCCCCACACUGGAACUGAGACACGGUCCAGACUCCUACGGGAGGCAGCAGUGAGGAAUAUUGGUCAAUGGGCGAGAGCCUGAACCAGCCAAGUAGCGUGAAGGAUGACUGCCCUAUGGGUUGUAAACUUCUUUUGUUCGGGAAUAAAGUGCAGUACGCGUACUGUUUUGUAUGUACCGUUCGAAUAAGCAUCGGCUAAUUCCGUGCCAGCAGCCGCGGUAAUACGGAAGAUGCGAGCGUUAUCCGGAUUUAUUGGGUUUAAAGGGAGCGUAGGCGGCCUGUUAAGUCAGCGGUUAAAUGUCAGUGCCCAACAUUGGCAUGCCGUUGAUACUGGUGGGCUUGAAUACACACAAGGAUGGUGGAAUUCGUUGUGUAGCGGUGAAAUGCUUAGAUAUGACGAAGAACUCCGAUUGCGAAGGCAGCCAUCUGGGGUGCGAUUGACGCUGAGGCUCGAAAGUGCGGGGAUCAAACAGGAUUAGAUACCCUGGUAGUCCGCACCGUAAACGAUGGAUACUCGCUGCCGGCGAUAUACAGUCGGUGGCUUAGCGAAAGCGUUAAGUAUCCCACCUGGGGAGUACGCCGGCAACGGUGAAACUCAAAGGAAUUGACGGGGGCCCGCACAAGCGGAGGAACAUGUGGUUUAAUUCGAUGAUACGCGAGGAACCUUACCUGGGCUAGAACGGCAGAUUGCUUCUUGGGAGAGACCCCUUGAUUCUUCGGACAAUCUGUUGAGGUGCUGCAUGGUUGUCGUCAGCUCGUGCCGUGAGGUGUCGGCUUAAGUGC